AUGGUGUCCCGCAGCCACGCUCCAGAUCAACGCAGCCACGCAGCGCCGCCCCUGCGCGCGCCUCCCCGCGCCCAGCCACGGCCGCCCCAGCCGAAGCACGCACCAGCGCGGGAGGAACACCGGAGAUCCCAUCGAGACGAACAGCCCGCGCUGCCGAAGCUCAGACGGGAGGAGGAAAGUGCCCCGCCGCCGCCGGGCCGCGUGGGCUUUGCCCGGCGACCUCUGCCGGCGGCGGCGAGGGGAGGAGGGGGCGGUGGAGCUGCGCUGGCGGCGGCUGGGGUUCGCCCCCUGGCCGCCCGCGGGAGCGACCUGAGGAGCGGCGUUUUGACGGCCACAAAGAAAUUUCAUGACAUUGUCGGAAGCAGUAAUAAUACGACGCAGUUUCUAGAGAGAAAACUGUGUUGGGAUGGUAUAUUGUUGUCCUUACAAGCAUUUCACCAAGCGCAUCCCGUGCGAUGA
Molecule: ribosomal RNA, 459 nt
Filed under: Triticum aestivum (bread wheat)
Lineage: Eukaryota; Viridiplantae; Streptophyta; Magnoliopsida; Poales; Poaceae
Description: partial small subunit ribosomal RNA
Source: RNAcentral